UACUCCGUGCACAGCAGAUUGCUGGUAAGGAAAAACAGUGAUAAUGACAGCAUGAUUUAGCAGUUGUUUCUCCUUAAAAAAUUGUGAAUUCCUAGCAAUAUAAUGUUGGAUGAUAAUAGUGCAGACAGCUAAUCAUAAUCAAUAUCCUAAUGCUUCCCUCUUGACUUCCUCAUGUACAAGCAAAAAGAAAGUGGUCUUAGACCAUGCAGUUACGUAAAAUGGAUCAAACAUUAGGUUUUAACAAGUAACAUUAGGUUUCUGUUGGGUG
RNAcentral lists this unclassified non-coding RNA (268 nucleotides) under Hevea brasiliensis (rubber tree). Lineage: Eukaryota; Viridiplantae; Streptophyta; Magnoliopsida; Malpighiales; Euphorbiaceae. The record is from RNAcentral.